GCCAGCGUGGUGUAGUGGUUUGAGCAACGGACUCUGACUCUGGAGGCUAGGGUUCGAAUCCCGGCUGGAC
This is a non-coding RNA of Phrynosoma platyrhinos (Desert horned lizard), 70 nucleotides long. NCBI's taxonomy places the organism in Eukaryota, Metazoa, Chordata, Lepidosauria, Squamata, Phrynosomatidae. The record is from the annotation of a GenBank genome assembly.